UGCAUCAACAGUUCACCUUGAGUGUGUUAUAGUUUGACUAUGCCAUAACUUGGUCUCUUAGCCAUUCAGAAUCCUGAGGUGUAUGUUGGCUGUAGCACAUUCAUUGUAGGAACUAGGUCGCACCAAGAUGGGAUCUAUUAAUCUCAAUAGAUUAGAGGAGUAGUCCUAUGGUGAUCAAAAGAUCGAGUCCUUAAGCCCAUGGCU
Molecule: long non-coding RNA, 204 nt
Filed under: Elaeis guineensis (African oil palm)
Lineage: Eukaryota; Viridiplantae; Streptophyta; Magnoliopsida; Arecales; Arecaceae
Description: long non-coding RNA (EGUI_LNC071667)
Source: RNAcentral